This 59-nucleotide microRNA precursor is filed under the name Ascaris suum (pig roundworm). RNAcentral's name for it is "Asu-Mir-77_pre stem-loop". Lineage: Eukaryota; Metazoa; Nematoda; Chromadorea; Rhabditida; Ascarididae. The record is from RNAcentral.
GCCUAAAAUUGACCGAUGAGAUUUGUAUUUGAAUAUUUCAUCAGGCCAAUUUUAGUCUU